CCCCGCCCCCUGAGCGCCGCGCGGCUCCGCCUGCGGGGGGGCGGCCGCCGCUGAGCCGGUGCCGGUCGCUGCGGGUAGCCGCCUUCGACGUAGGCGCUCCUAUCCUGGGCCGAGGUUCAGCUUCGCCGGUACUCAUCUCCGAAGGAAGGAACAGAAGAAAACCUGCCAUACGGCCCCGUAGCUCAGGUACCGAUUUCAACGCGGCGCAGGCCACAGUAAGCCGUAAGUCGAGGAGAAAAGGAGCAGCGCUCCCGGGCGGCGCGCAUCAGCCGGACGGCUUGGCGGGAAGGGGCGGCAGCGGGCGGGCGCAGCGCCCCUUCCCCAUGAGGAAACGUACGCAGCACUGCCGCCGGUAGAGCCCGACAGGCUGAAGGAGGACUGGCGUCACAUUUAAUAUCGUGCUCGCUGGAAACUUUUACAGUCCGACAGCCAGAGUAAUAAUCAGGUGCAACUUCAGACGACUUCUAUAAAAUAACUUUAAUGACUUGGUUCAUGCCACUUUAAAAACAGUCAUUUUCAAGAAGAAAAAUCAGUAUGUUUCUGGUACUGACUUUGCUUUCCUAUUCUUAUUCCCAUCUUUGCUAAUAGUUUGGCAUCCCCAGUACAUCCAGACGUUUGCCUGGGUGGGUGUACUGAAAAGUAACCCCAAGUUCCUAACCUGCUUAUACAGUCUGCAGUUACUGCAGACCUUCCCCACCCACCUCCAUCUACUAAGAAAAAGUCUUUUUGUGAAAGCUUUCCAAAAUGCCAAAGAUGAUAUUAAGCCAAGUAUUCCUCAGAUCUGUAUGUAUGUGUAUAUAUAUAUAUAUGGUCUGUCUGACUUGAAAUUCAAUCUGCAGUCACCCAGAUGGCAGAUGAAAAUCACUGGCAUAAGACAGCUAUUGUAGCCUAGAGAGCUGUAUAUGCUAUCACUAUUGGAAUCAAACAGCUGUUCUUGGUCUUUCCUGAGCAAAAUCUUCAUGGCAUCCAAAUGAGAUUUUUGCAGGCCGCACACAGAGUCCUUUUAAAGGAAGAUGUGACGUGAAUUCUCAAAACACAUCCCCAUCUCAAAACAGACAAUAAAAUGGGCAUCACAAAAAUCCAUGUUAUACAAUAAGACUGCAUUUCAGUUUUUCCUAUUACUUGGUAUAACAAGAUUCAGUAAAACAUGGAAGCAAAGUACCAAUGGCCAUCUUCCCCCAAGUCCUUGAAGAAUUUCUCUGCAUAUUCUACUGGUCUUCAGGUCUCUAAAGUUUCUUCAUUUGCACCACAAGUGUCUACAACACAGAUUAAACAACUUGUCACUGGGAAAGCACGGACUUUGGAGUUGGCUAUCCACUUGUCUGUUUCAGUAUUAUACUCAAGAAUGUGCCCUAAUCGACCAACACCCUGAAAACCGGCCAGGACAUAAACUAUGGAUCCCACAGCAGCACACUUCACUGUUACACCUUUCCAUGGCAUUGGAGACACCAUCUUCCAUUCAUUCAUCUUGAUAUCGUAAUAUUCUACAUUAUCAAGGCCACCUAAAAAGCAAUGAAAUAGAGAACUGCUUACUACAGUAUACUGUCUAGGAUGAACUUGAGUACAGAAUGCUACUUAAAACUUAGUCAUUUUCAGAGUUUACAUUAAAAUAUGUAACAGACAGAAUAUUUCAGAGGAAAGGCCACAAUUUUCUAAACUAGCAGUUACUCACUCUUUAAAUACAGAAACAGAAGGCAAGACUGAAAAUGAGAUGCACUCCUACAAGUUUCACAUUGUAAAGGUUCUAACGAGUUGCUCCACAAACACAACAGUGCCUGAUUUCUCAUGGAUUUUGGGUAGUAACCUAAAGUUAGGAAUCCACCUAAAAAUUAUCUCCAGUAAGGCCAUUUAAUUCUAGUUGGAUUAUCAGCAUACCUUUACCUAAGUAGGUCGCUUACUGAUGAAGGAUCUCCAUUAAACUUCAAAUAUGUUUAUAUCAUAAAAACCUAAGUCACUUUUCAAGGGCCGACAGUUUCAAAAGUUAUUAAGGAAAGUAUGUUAUGUGAAGUAUGUAAGAUUUUCUUCUUUAAGAAACAGGCUAGCAAUCACACUUCACAAUAUCUACAAAUAUCUUAUUAUUCUUAUUUAAAAAUAAAUGACUACGAGGCACAGGCAAGUUUUCCCUUCCAGUCCUGAAUUAUUAGAUCUGAGAGAUUAACUUCUAUAAUCAUAGAUGAUAUUUCAUUCCAGACAUAAAUCUUUGCCAUUAUAUUAUAUUAAGAACAAUUAAUCAGUGAAGUUGCAGAAUGCAAACAGCAAAAGAAUAUUUUACUUAUUAGUUCAGCAGCACACGGUCAGCAAAUACACUAAAACCUUGCAAAGUGACAGCUCUGGCUAUAACUGUUUGAUCAAGUGCACAGAAAAAUUAUACAUACUGAUAUUUUUGAAUAGGAGUCAAUCAUACUGGAAUAGUCUUAGUAACUAAUUAAAAUACAAGCUAUAUUCUAGAACAGCAUUAAUGUGAAUUUAGAUAUUCUAGUUACCAUAAAUAGUAAUUAAUAAACCCCAUAGAUGAGAACUUUCAUUUUCAAAAGCGCUUCAGAAACCCUAUGUAAUUAAAAUUGAAAUUCAACUCUCCUGGGAAAUCAACUAUCAUUCUAGUUUUACAGAUAAAGAGACAGACCAUGACAGUAAGUCACAUUUCAUUAACUAGGGCAGUCAAGAAAAUUCUGUUUUUCACCUCUUGAAAAUAGCAGACUAGCUUUGAAUCUUCAGACUGUUUUGUUCAGUGGAAUGACAAAGUCUCUUGAAAUAUACAAUGAAAGACUUAAAGCAAAUAAACCAACUAAAAGAUUGCCUUUUGUUAAGAUAUUUGACUUGGCUAUAUUAGUACAGAUGCAUUUCUGAAUUUUACAGUACUAGGAGACUGGAAAACAUAAUGAAGUAUGGAGGUGAAUGAAGGAAUGCAACAACAUCAGCAAUAGAACAUGUUUUAUAGUACUGCUCAAAGUUUUUCCAGCUGAAUAAAGUAGAAUUAAAUUUUGGUAAAGGCAACAAAAGGCCCCAACAAAAGUUUGAGUGUCCAGCUAGAGAAUUAAAAGAACUGGAGUACCUAAGCCAUUCUGUCCGCCCACAGCAAAUAUUUUGUCCUUUACAAACACCAGUCCAUGAUUCUUCCUGGCUUCAAUCAUUGGACACAGCUCAGUCCAUGUUUCUGUGGCCGGAUCAUAAACUUCACAGGAAUUUAGUACUCGUCCGGAAACAUUGUUUCCCAGGCUCCCUCCACACACAUAAAUGAGACCAUUCGCCUCUACCAUUCCGUGACUGCAGCGUUGAGUCAGCAUGCUGGGCUUUGUAUGCCAGCUUUCUGUUCUCGUAUCGUAGCAUUCAAACAAAUACAGUGCAGAAUUUCCUUAAAGAAAUAAGAAACCCACCAAAGUGGCAUUAAUUUUGAUGGCUGUCCUCCAAGAGAAGAGACUCACAGCAAUUAUCAAAUUGGUGCUUAGUUGGUUGAAAAGGGAAAGCUGCUUUCCCACCUCUAAAAACAGAGCUAACCAACUUGAAAUAUGGAACUACUCAAAAAGCACACACUUGUAAUUCUUUUCUUGACUCUUUUGUUCCAAAACAUGUGAGUUUAUAAAACUGCUGUUUGUGUUUGAAAACAAAUACAAAUGGUACAGAUUUGUUUGGGGAGGGGCAGGGGGUGCUGGGGGUAGAAGAAGUGAACAAAGUUGUAUAUUAAAUACAGAUCAGAUUUCCAUCGUUUCAUGUUACUCAGUACUUAGAAACAUAGGGAACAUGGCACCUAUUUUGUAAACCUAACAGAUUCACCUGAGUCUUUCUCUAAGCAAAGUGAUUCAUGCUACUCCCAGAAUAUUUGGUGCUUUUCGGAUUAGACAGCUAAAUUAUGUUGCAACAUAUUCCUGAAUUAUUAGCAGCCAUAGAACAGCUAAGUUUCACCAUUUUACUUUCUUCCUGGCUACUGGCAGAUAUUUUCUAUUUUCUCAAAAGUUUGAGGUCUGUGUUUUCCCCUCUCAUGGACCAACAAACUAUUACUGAAAUCAAAAGCAACUUUUCUAAUGAAGAUAAAUGGGAGCAUCAAGACUUGCCCUUAAAUAACCAGCCAUACUUAAAGCAGAGUAGACUAGGCAUGGCUUUCUCAGAAAAGAGCUGGGUGUGUUACUGCACUCACUGCCAGCUGGGGAACUGAGCUGACAAAUCACACGGAACAGCACUACUUUUCCAGGCUCAGAAAUACAGGAGUAGAUUUCUGUGAACCACGUUUGCUUACUCCUGCCACAGUUCUCAACAUCAAUAAGAACUGUGGAGUGAGCCAUAUUUUUUCCUUGAUAUACACACACAUCCUUAUUGCUUGGAAGCUGUACAAAUUCAUAUACAGAGGAAAUACAGUAGAGUUGUCUUUAAUGUCUUUUUAGAGAAGUGGAAAGCUGCUGUUUCAGUACACUGUGAGGAUAAUGUUAAAUAUUUGUCCUGCACCUGAUUAUACUGAAAGAAUUUGGUAUGUUUGGCACUCAAUUUCUGUUAACUACUGCAAAUAAAACAGUACUCCCAUCAACUCUAAAAGAGGAAACCAACCCUGUUGACUAAGUGGAUUGGCACAGUAGUUUUACAGACUCUUUGAUCAAUGCAAUAAAUAUGCUAUUUUUAGACUUAUAUACAACUAAACAAAUUUAGGAGGAAGUUUUUCACACAGAGGGUGGUGACGCACUGGAACAGGUUGCCCAAGGAGGUUGUGGAUGCCCCAUCUCUGGAGGCAUUCAAGGCCAGGCUGGAUGUGGCUCUGGGCAGCCUGGUCUGGUGGUUGGAGACCCUGCACAUAGCAGAGGGGUUGAAACUACAUGGCCAUUGUGGUCCUUUUCAACCCAGGCCGCUCUAUGAUUCUAUGGUUCUAUGAUUCUGUGAAUUACAGCACUUUUAAAUUAAUAGUUUCACAAAAUUGCUUGCUCCAAUUUAGAAAAGUAGGAGAAUCAGUAUAGAUGGACUUUUCUAGAAGACAAGCAGUAUUCACUGGAUUCCAAAGAAAAAAUACACUUGCAAAAUAACCUGUUACUAAUUUUUAGAUUUUACUAUUCUGUCUUUAAAUAUUUAUGGAAAACACAGUGAAACGGUGCAGUAGAGCAAGUGUAAACCAGAAAAAACUCCAAAGUUAAUAACAUUGUAAUGGAAUUGUAACUAAUUAAAAUGUAUUAGAAAAUAAACUAUCCAAUGAAAGUCUGGAUCACAAUUCCUCAUGAUCUGGCACAUAGGGAAACUGGGAAGAUUUAAAAGAUUUUGUAGUUUUGUAGCAUUCCAAGCCUUAACCUGUUGCAAAUAAUGGGAGAAGUGUUAUGUCACAUUUACCACACUAGGUGGCAGCUACAAACUAUCUGCUCCCACAUCAGACCUCUUAAAACAUAUUCGAAGUCAGAUAACAUGACCUAAAUGUCACAGCUUUCUAUUGAGUGACUUAUCAAUUUUAGGCACUGAUUAUGACCCUUUUUUCCUCUUCACAUCCCUUUGCAGUGAGACAGAACUCAAGAGGAUCUACUGAAAAAUUUAUCUCUAGGCAUAGUGGUUUUUGUCGUUGUUUAGUUGUGGUUUUUUGGAGGGGAUAGAACUUGCUUUUUUUUUUCCUUUAAGCUCUGUUUCUAUGGAUAUAGCAUAGCAUACUUACAUUUCUACUUCUGGUUUGCUCAAGUUGAGUAUUUUAGACAAAAAUUAACAAAAGCUGUACUGUAGCAAUGUGUUUCAUUACGGAAAUUUUCCUGGGGCGGGGGGAACUCAAUGGUCUUUCUUCAACUACAAUGAGUAAAUGACAUCUAAAUUCCCACUUACUGAAGCAAACCAUCAGAAUAAUUAACAGAAGAUAACUUCUGUCACUUGACAGAAACAGGUCAGUUUACAGGGACAGGUGUGAUUUCACCAACAAAACCAGUCAAUUACAAAGCUUUUUAUCAUCCCUUUUUUUUGUUGUUGAAAAUAAAAGAAACCUCAUCAGGCUCAGCAUACACAAUGAAUACCACAAUGCAGCUAUUCUGGCCAUAUGUCACGAAAUUUUAAACCACGCUGAGAUCUGUGAAUGUGUUAAGUAAACUAACAGCAGAGUGAGACUUUCAAACUGUAUUUGCUUGUCCCUAGUCAACUCCUAACGUGAAUAACACAAUUUCAAUCAGAAACAGAACACAACAGAAAUAGGUUGUUGGAUUUCAGGGAGAAGAAAAUUCUAAAUAUGGGAAAAUUAACUCAUGAGGCUAACACGGCAACGUGCAGUUUCUUUUCAACAGUCAUGCAAAAAAAAAAAACAAAAACAACACAACAGAACAUUUUCCAGGUAUCUUUGUUUGUGCUUUUUGGGGGUUUGUUUUUAAAGAUUUUUAGUGUCUUACCCACUUCUGAACCACCAGAUGUAUAAAUUUUGCCCUCAGCAGCACAGGCUGCAAGGCUAUCUCGAGGUGUUGGAGGUCCUAGCUUGGAAUACCAGCUAUCCUUCACCACAUUGUAGCAGUCCAUUCGCUUUAUAGGGAAGAGCUGGGAACCACCCAAAAUAUAAACUACGUUGUCCCAGAAGACACAAGCUGCAUCCCUGCGCUUUUCAAAGGGACAUCGGAUGUCUGUCCAGCUGUAAUCCUGCAUUACAAAGAACAGGUAAUGUCUAAUAGAUUGUAACACUUACCUGCACAGCGAGUGUUUUUCAAACAGAGCUUUUCAUAGAGAUCUAGAUACGGUCAGUUUUAAAUUUCCUUUUCAAAACAAACAUGAACACUGUUUAUUGAAGAACACUCCUCAGGCGUACUCUUGAAAAAUUCACUUAAACACAGACAUAGUUAGCUGCAAUGAACCAUGACAUAAUCAAUUUCUAUUUCCUCAUUCCCUCUGUACACCCAGUACAGCUUCCCUGAAAAACAGGUCUUUUUUUCCCCUCGACGGAAUUGAUGUCCUGCUGCUACCAAGUCAGAAACAAUGCAUGUAAUCAAUGAAGCAGAAUUGCUUUUUCUUUUAUAGAAAUGGAAAAAAACAUCUUACAUAUACUAAGAAAUUCUUUCUCUCUAAGGAAAACAAAUACAGAAAGUUAAACCAAACAAAGGCGAUGGAAAAAGAAGAUAAUAUCCCAAUUGACAAGCAACUCAGUUGAAAAGCUCCAGUACAUACUUUAUUACCAUGACAACUAGAAGCUUAUUUACAGGAUUUGCAAAACACAAGUGAUCUAUAGCUAUCCACAGUUGAUAGCAUGAGAAAUGGUGUAAUGCUUUAUCACAAAUACUGGCAGUCAUGUUGCCUAGAAACUGCUUUUGCAUGGGUUGGCAAAACCAGCAAGUAUCAAAUAUAGGCAUUAAUGCUACCCAAAGCCUUAAAAACACCAAACUCAGCAACUGAUGGCAGACCAGGAUAGCAUACAGCACAAGGAACACUUCUUGAAUAAUUGCAUCUCACAUAUUCCAUGCCAUCAUAAGCAUAGCUUUUAUCUUACGCUGAACAGGAAACUUUGGGACCUUAACUGUUAUCUGUCACCUCAAGAUGGUCUAGCUAAACCAGCUGCAUGACCUUCAUUGUAAUGAAUCACACAAGACAUUACAAGAUUACAUUUUCUUGGCAAGGACAUACUUCAAACACCUUGGUCAAUGAGGAAGAACAGCGACUUCUACAUGGGGGUUCAAAGAAAGAGGCAGAGCAUGUUAUAGUCCAAAACAUCUUACAAUCUUUUCCUGUAGCAUCCCCCUUAGCAAGAAGAGCUGGCAGGUGCAUGUGGCCCUUUAUGAUGAG
Molecule: long non-coding RNA, 7701 nt
Filed under: Gallus gallus (chicken)
Lineage: Eukaryota; Metazoa; Chordata; Aves; Galliformes; Phasianidae
Source: RNAcentral